GAUGAACGCUGGCGGCGUGCCUAAUACAUGCAAGUCGAGCGAACGGACGAGAAGCUUGCUUCUCUGAUGUUAGCGGCGGACGGGUGAGUAACACGUGGAUAACCUACCUAUAAGACUGGGAUAACUUCGGGAAACCGGAGCUAAUACCGGAUAAUAUUUUGAACCGCAUGGUUCAAAAGUGAAAGACGGUCUUGCUGUCACUUAUAGAUGGAUCCGCGCUGCAUUAGCUAGUUGGUAAGGUAACGGCUUACCAAGGCAACGAUGCAUAGCCGACCUGAGAGGGUGGUCGGCCGCACUGGAACUGGGACACGGUCCAGACUCCUACGGGAGGCCGCAGUAGGGAAUCUUCCGCAAUGGGCGAAAGCCUGACGGAGCAACGCCGCGUGAGUGAUGAAGGUCUUCGGAUCGUAAAACUCUGUUAUUAGGGAAGAACAUAUGUGUAAGUAACUGUGCACAUCUUGACGGUACCUAAUCAGAAAGCCACGGCUAACUACGUG
This 497-nucleotide ribosomal RNA is filed under the name uncultured bacterium. RNAcentral's name for it is "partial 16S ribosomal RNA". It matches the Rfam family "Bacterial small subunit ribosomal RNA", at positions 28 to 507 of the family's 1533-position model. The record is from RNAcentral.